RNAcentral lists this ribosomal RNA (501 nucleotides) under Brevundimonas sp. WH293. RNAcentral describes it as "bacterial SSU rRNA". It matches the Rfam family "Bacterial small subunit ribosomal RNA", at positions 111 to 647 of the family's 1533-position model. The record is from RNAcentral. Lineage: Bacteria; Pseudomonadati; Pseudomonadota; Alphaproteobacteria; Caulobacterales; Caulobacteraceae.
UAACACGUGGGAACGUGCCUUUAGGUUCGGAAUAGCUCCUGGAAACGGGUGGUAAUGCCGAAUGUGCCCUUCGGGGGAAAGAUUUAUCGCCUUUAGAGCGGCCCGCGUCUGAUUAGCUAGUUGGUGAGGUAACGGCUCACCAAGGCGACGAUCAGUAGCUGGUCUGAGAGGAUGACCAGCCACACUGGGACUGAGACACGGCCCAGACUCCUACGGGAGGCAGCAGUGGGGAAUCUUGCGCAAUGGGCGAAAGCCUGACGCAGCCAUGCCGCGUGAAUGAUGAAGGUCUUAGGAUUGUAAAAUUCUUUCACCGGGGACGAUAAUGACGGUACCCGGAGAAGAAGCCCCGGCUAACUUCGUGCCAGCAGCCGCGGUAAUACGAAGGGGGCUAGCGUUGCUCGGAAUUACUGGGCGUAAAGGGCGCGUAGGCGGAUCGUUAAGUCAGAGGUGAAAUCCCAGGGCUCAACCCUGGAACUGCCUUUGAUACUGGCGAUCUUGAGU